GCAUGGUACAGGGGUGACUGAGUUCCUGCUUUGUUAGUUCCCACUGAAACUGAUUGACAAAAAGGGCCUGGCACCUCUCUCUUCUCUCUCUUUCUCUCUCUCACCAUGUGAUCUAUGCGUGCCUGUUCCCGUCUGCUUGCACUAAGAAUGGAAACAGCCUAAGUUCCUCACCAGAAGCAGAGGCUGGCACCAUGUUUGUUAUGCAGCCUGCAGAACCAGAAAUCAUGGGAAAAACUGCCCAUUUCUGUUUUGUCUACUUUGCUUUGGGAAGUGAGAGCUAUACUCAUUAUCACCACAUCCCCUGGCAUCCAACUCCUGCUGGAGGCCAGGAAGUUCAACAUCAAGGUGCCAGUUUCUGAUGAGGGCCUUUUUGCUACUUUCUACGGCAGAAAGUUGAAGAAAGAGCUAGAGAAUGCAGUCAAGAUCAAGAGCAGAGGGAGCCAACUCAUCUUUAUUUUUUUAUUUUUGGAAUGGAGUUUUGCUCUUAUUGCCCAGGCUGGAGUGUAAUGGUGCAAUCUCGGCUCACUGCAACCUCUGCAUCCCAGGUUCAAGUGAUUCUCCAGCCUCAGCCUCCCGAGUAGCUGAGAUUACAGGCACCCGCCACCACACCCAGCUAAUUUUUGUACUUUUAGUAGAGACAGGGUUUCUCCAUGUUGGCCAGGCUGGUUUCAAACUCCUGACCUCAGGUGAUCUGCCAGCUUCAGCCUCCCAAAGUGUUGGGAUUACAGGUGUGUGCCACCACACCCGGCCUCAUCUUUUUAAAACAGGAACUUACUCCCUUGAUAACUUAUUCACUCUUGCAAUAUCAGCAUUAAUCUAUUCAUGAUAGCAGAGCCUUUACGACCUAAUUACCUUUCAACACCCCCAUCUCUCAAUAUAGUUGCAUUGGGGAUUAAGUUCCAAUAAAUGAAUUUUGGGGGACACCUGCAAACCAUAGCAAUACGUUUUUCUAUGGCUGUUCUUAU
Molecule: long non-coding RNA, 965 nt
Filed under: Pan troglodytes (chimpanzee)
Lineage: Eukaryota; Metazoa; Chordata; Mammalia; Primates; Hominidae
Description: long non-coding RNA NONPTRT012556
Source: RNAcentral